GGCGUCCAAGUACAAUAGGCCGUCAGUGGGACAUCAUAGAGGGUGACAAUCCCGUCCUUGAUGCCAAUGUGCAAGUCCAUUACGAUGGCUAUCUCAGAGAGUCGAGCAGUUUGGGAUUUGCUGCUUAAACAUGGGAGGUAGAUUCCUUCUAAAGCUAAAUACAGGCGAGAGACCGAUAGAGAACAAGUACCGCAAGGGAAAGAUGAAAUAGCACUCUGUGAAGGGAGUCAAAAGGCGUGAAAUUGUUGCGAGAGAAGCGAUUCAAGUCAGCGUAGCUAGGCCCAUCAAGCCUUUUUGCUUUGGACUAGCUUUGCCAGCGGUCUUGUCCCUUAAAAGGGACUUGACUUGUAAUGUGUCCAGCCUGGCGUGCACAGGCAGCCCCUUCUGGGGGCCAGUGGCAUGGCUGGUGGAAUGGCUUGCAAUCGACCCGUCUUGAAACACGGACCAAGGAGUCUAACAUGUAUGCGAGUAUAAGGGUGGCAAACCCGUAUGCGCAAUGAAAGUGAUUUUCGAUGAUUGAGAAUGGCCUGAUGACCAGACAAGCAAUACAUGUCCCUCGUACGGCCAUUGCCCAAGUUCCGUGGUAGAUCCCACGAACAUGGAGUUGGAGCAUACAUGCUAGGACCCGAAAGAUGGUGAACUAUGCCUGGACAAAGCGAAGCCAAAGGAAACUCUGGUGGAGGCUUGUAGCGAUUCUGACGUGCAAAUCGAUCGUCUGAUCUGGGUAUAGGGGCGAAAGA
This 740-nucleotide ribosomal RNA is filed under the name Cantharellus pinetorum. RNAcentral describes it as "partial large subunit ribosomal RNA". It matches the Rfam family "Eukaryotic large subunit ribosomal RNA", at positions 176 to 930 of the family's 3401-position model. The record is from RNAcentral. Lineage: Eukaryota; Fungi; Basidiomycota; Agaricomycetes; Cantharellales; Hydnaceae.